CUUUAAAUUACAUGAUAAUAAAGU
Molecule: microRNA, 24 nt
Filed under: Ananas comosus (pineapple)
Lineage: Eukaryota; Viridiplantae; Streptophyta; Magnoliopsida; Poales; Bromeliaceae
Description: microRNA s0221_c085
Source: RNAcentral